UGGAACAUAAGUUAAUUAGACUACAAGUCUUCAGAACUUGAAGUAGGGGUAAAGCUCCCUUGUUCUAG
This 68-nucleotide transfer RNA is filed under the name Donax trunculus (truncated wedgeshell). RNAcentral's name for it is "tRNA-Trp". The record is from RNAcentral. Lineage: Eukaryota; Metazoa; Mollusca; Bivalvia; Cardiida; Donacidae.